Long non-coding RNA from Dendrobium catenatum, 1007 nucleotides. RefSeq lists it as uncharacterized. The transcript is spliced from 5 exons. NCBI's taxonomy places the organism in Eukaryota, Viridiplantae, Streptophyta, Magnoliopsida, Asparagales, Orchidaceae. The record is from RefSeq and is a predicted model, not a curated record.
AGGCUACUGGAGCAAUGAAGCAGUGAGAAUUGGGUCCUUGAGCGAGGAAGAGGUUGGGAGAUCAGAAUUCUUGUCGCAAGUUGGAAGCCAACCCUGCUGAUAGUCGGUAUGGUGUGGCUUCCGGCGAGUAAUGUCUCCGUUCUUAAAGAAAGGACUGCAAGAAACCAUUCUGAACUGAAUUCCAACAUAGACGGUAAUAAUGAGUGGAUGAGUUCAACGGAUUAAUCUGAAACAUAUUUGGCAGGUUUAUUGCAAUAACUAGCAAAUCCACACACUUCAACUAAAAGUUGUGGAAGAAUUUCAGCAGACUUACAGAAAAAAACAAUAAUUCUGCAAUGACUUGUCCACCUCCCCUGGCGACACUAUCUGAUUUGAUUUUUGUACCCUCAUCAGUCAACUAUCCGGUGCACCUCGUGUGCAGCCAUGAAGAGCCACAGCAGUGUACCCAAAAUGUCUAAGAACUGUGCCAAGCUUUACAUAUUGUUGCCAUGGAUACUUGUGGCAGUGCCUAGUGGGCCUGGGUUCCCAGCUUGCAAAGGAUGCCUGGAAGACAUACACAGUUAGCAUUGAGUAUGAAAAGCUAUAUGUAAAGCUGUAGACCUAUGGAGAUCCUCUCCUGACCAGUUGGGGAAUAUCAAAAGGCUCAUUAAGAGGCAGAUACCACAGCCAAUGGCGAUGGUGUAGAGGCGUUCCUGUGCCAUAUGCAGCACAUUUUGCACGCGAAAGCUAGAUACCGUUAUCAGAUUGAAGUCACCGGAUGCCGUUUGAAAGCGAAUCAUGGCACAUUACAUUACUUUUUUACUGUGUAUCAGACUAUUGGUGUUGUGUACUGAGUGACGUGGCACAUCCUAAUUCGCCUCUGAAUGAUCCGGUAACCACACAGAAUAAUUUCCCUAUAAUUGAGCAUCUGCUUUUAGAUAGCUUGUCAUUUGUCCUUAGGGUGACUUACAUAUAUGCCAUUGAACUCUUUUAUCAUUUACAUACUUUUUUUAUUCACUCAAACUAUU